UACGAAGGGGGCUAGCGUUGUUCGGAAUUACUGGGCGUAAAGCGCACGUAGGUGGCGACGUAAGUCGGGUGUGAAAGCCCCGGGCUCAACCUGGGAAUUGCAUUCGAGACUGCAUUGCUGGAGUACGGAAGAGGAAGGCGGAAUUCCCGGUGUAGCGGUGAAAUGCGUAGAUAUCGGGAGGAAGGCCGGUGGCGAAGGCGGCGCUCUGGAACAUUUCUGACGCUGAGGCUCGAAAGCGUGGGGAGCAAACAGG
Molecule: ribosomal RNA, 253 nt
Filed under: uncultured bacterium
Lineage: Bacteria
Description: partial 16S ribosomal RNA
Rfam family: Bacterial small subunit ribosomal RNA
Source: RNAcentral